UUGGGAUCUUGCAGCGCCCGUGUUGGCUGGGCGAGCUGAUUCGAGGUGCAGAAUCACCCUCUCCCCGCCCGCCGCAUGCGCGCCGUGCCAUUUGCGGGAGUGUGGGGUAGGCCUCGCCCAAUCCCCCCGCCCGCACCACUCCCUCCCUGCCCCACGUCCAAUCCCCUCGCCCGCACUGCUCCCUCCCUCCUCGAUCUCUCUCCCUGGCCAGCCGCCAUUGGUGGGAAACCCUAGCCCAUUAUCCCAAUCAACACAGCCGCAGCUCCUCUCCUUCUUUCUCCCUUCUCCCCCUCCUCCCCUCACCACAGCCGCAACCUAGGGGCUUCGCCGUCCGUUUCGAUGAGAUCCACCACCUCGCGAGGUUCUCAUCUGCCCUAGGUUGCGAGGAAGCCACGGGAGGAGGAGUGACCUCGAUGCGAGAUAGGUACGGAGGAGGAGCUCAACCAGCGCGUCUUCGGCCGGAGGAAGGAAGCAGCGGAUGCGAGCCAGGAGGCGAAUCGGCUCAGCCCAGCUAUGGAGGCGGCCGAGGCGGGCGCGGAGAGGGCCGAUGCGGCGGCGGCCAAGGCCAGGGAGGACGAGGUUGCAUCCAUCAGUGAGAAGCGGCUGAUCCACCUGCGUGCCGUCACUGCAGGGAUAGCGGCGCCGUCGCCCUCUCCCCUGGUGGCACCUCCAUAUAUGUUGAGGUUGGUCCCGGAAUGGUUGGCUUUGGGACUUUUGGUGGCAGUAUAUUCUUAUGCCGAUGAGAAGCAUUUGCAGGACCAUUAUGUGGUUAUCCGUGGCAGUGUGCUCCUAUCCUCCCCGCCUCCAUACUUCAUUUUUGGAAAACUAAUGAUUUUAAUUCCUGGAUAUCAUAGAUGUUGAGGUUGGGCCUGGAAUGGUUGGCUUUGGGACUUUUGGUGGCAAUAUAUUCUUUUGCCGACGAGAAGCAUUUGCAGGACGAUUAUGUGGUUAUCUGUGGUAGUGUGCUCCUAUCCUCCCCGCCUCCAUAUAAACUAAUGAUUUUAAUUCCUGGAUGUCAUAGGUACCAUUGAUUGUGCCUCAGCUUCGUAGCCGAUCUUCGACCAUCCAUGGCAUCAACAUACAAAUUGAUAAUGCAAACCUCAGGCAUGCGGAUGCGGGCGCGAUGGCGGGCAUCUCCGGCAGCGGCGGCGACCUACAGGCAAGAGGCAAUGACUCGGGUGUUCGAUUCGAUCCAGCGCCAUGGCCCGGUCCCUACGGGAGAGAGAGAUGAGGGACAGAGAGAGAAGGAAGGAGAGGAGGGAGAAAGAGAGAGGGAGGUGAAUGCCCUGGACUCUUCAAGAUCGAGCGCACCAUUGGACAGGCUGAGUACGUCCAUCGACAGCCUGCCCAGUGUCCGGGUUCACCAAGCAGUACAACCAGAGACGCUGUCGGCUGCCUGUAGGCACCAAGCCGUCCGCUGUUGUCUCUGCCUGAAGAAGGAUUAUGGUUCUCCACCUCUUUGCUAAUCAUAUUAAAAUUCUGGAUUAAUUUUGUUUGUACUUUAACCAGUUCAAGGAUUGGUGGUCGAGCACUAUGAUCUUUGCACACUAAGCUAUUCCGGAGAAGUUUAGAGCUUCUGCAACCUUUUGAAGACACGAUUUAUAGUUGCGGAGAUGAAACAAGCAAUCAGUUGCGAUGCAUUACAUAAUAUUUUUGCUCUGGACAUUGAUGGGUAUUAUUUUGCCACAAAGGACAGGAGCUUUGCCAUUUGACUCGAAGGAUAAAGUGUUCAUCACAAGGGGGUGGUCUUUAGGAUGUACACAAAAGAGGAAAUUUCCUUUUGUAUAGAACCAAAUUAUAUGAUGUAAUUGACCAUUCUCUUGUACACAAUGUUUAUCAUGUAUUAAGUACAUUUUAUUGUCAAAUAUGUUUACUUUUUUAGUUGCACAAGUUCAUAACUCCUUGGACUUUCUAAUUGCAGGCUGAACUAUUUGAAACCACUGAUCUGAGUUUGUUGGGUCUGUGUAUUAGUGAAUGUGUGUAUUGAAGUUUGGUGAGUCUCAAGAAGAACCAAACUUUUGUUCCUAUCUCAUCAUAUGCUAUCUUAAAUGCAAA
This 2055-nucleotide ribosomal RNA is filed under the name Triticum aestivum (bread wheat). Its description in RNAcentral is "partial small subunit ribosomal RNA". Lineage: Eukaryota; Viridiplantae; Streptophyta; Magnoliopsida; Poales; Poaceae. The record is from RNAcentral.